GAAGUAAUGUGAAUUGCAGAAUUCAGUGAAUCAUCGAAUCUUUGAACGCACCUUGCGCUCCUUGGUAUUCCGAGGAGCAUGCCUGUUUGAGUGUCAUUAAAUUCUCAACCUUACCAGUUUUCACGAAUUGGUAAUGGCUUGGACUUGGGGGUUUUUUGCUGGCUUCGUCAAGAGGUCUGCUCCCCUUAAAAGUAUUAGCCGGUACCCUUGUGGAGUCGUCUAUUGGUGUGAUAAUUAUCUACGCCGUGGGCCUUCACUUUAAAUGGAUUGUACUGCUUCUAACCGUCCGUUAAGUCGGACAAAUAAUGACAAUUUGACCUCAAAUCAGGUAGGACUACCCGCUGAACUUAAGCAUAUCAAUAAGCGGAGGAAAAGAAACUAACAAGGAUUCCCCUAGUAACUGCGAGUGAAGCGGGAAAAGCUCAAAUUUAAAAUCUGGUGGUCUUUGAUCAUCCGAGUUGUAAUCUAGAGAAGUGUUAUCCGCGCUGGACCGUGUACAAGUCUCCUGGAAUGGAGCGUCAUAGAGGGUGAGAAUCCCGUCUUUGACACGGACUGCCAGGGCUUUGUGAUGCGCUCUCAAAGAGUCGAGUUGUUUGGGAAUGCAGCUCAAAAUGGGUGGUAAAUUCCAUCUAAAGCUAAAUAUUGGCGAGAGACCGAUAGCGAACAAGUACCGUGAGGGAAAGAUGAAAAGAACUUUGGAAAGAGAGUUAAACAGUACGUGAAAUUGCUGAAAGGGAAACGCUUGAAGUCAGUCGCGUUGGCCGGGGAUCAACCUUGCUUUUGCUGGGCGUACUUUCCGGUUGACGGGUCAGCAUCAAUUUUGACCGUUGGAUAAAGUUCAGGGGAAUGUGGCAUCUUCGGAUGUGUUAUAGCCUNUGUUCGCAUACAACGGUUGGGAUUGAGGAACUCAGCACGCCGCAAGGCCGGGUAUUUAUACUACGUUCGUGCUUAGGAUGCUGGCAUAAUGGCUUUAAUCGACCNGUCUUGAAACACGGACCAAGGAGUCUAACAUGCCUGCGAGUGUUUGGGUGGAAAACCCGAGCGCGUAAUGAAAGUGAAAGUUGAGAUCCCUGUCGUGGGGAGCAUCGACGCCCGGACCAGACCUUUUGUGACGGAUCCGCGGUAGAGCAUGUAUGUUGGGACCCGAAAGAUGGUGAACUAUGCCUGAAUAGGGUGAAGCCAGAGGAAACUCUGGUGGAGGCUCGUAGCGAUUCUGACGUGCAAAUCGAUCGUCAAAUUUGGGUAUAGGGGCGAAAGACUAAUCGAACCAUCUAGUAGCUGG
Molecule: ribosomal RNA, 1282 nt
Filed under: Galerina marginata
Lineage: Eukaryota; Fungi; Basidiomycota; Agaricomycetes; Agaricales; Galerinaceae
Description: eukaryotic LSU rRNA
Rfam family: Eukaryotic large subunit ribosomal RNA (bases 315-1282)
Source: RNAcentral